AAAUAAACAAAUAAAUAAAUAAAUAAAUAAAGGUACACAAGGAUUGGUUUCAGUAAGGAACAUUCCCUGUAGAUACAGAGAGAGGAAUAAAAAUUUCCAGAGGGCUAUUGACAUCAACAUUAAAAAAAAAAAUCAUGCUAAAAAAAAUCAUGCUAAAGGAUAUUUUUUUUAUUUUUUUAAAGAUUUUAUUUAUUUAUUCAUGAGAGACACAGAGAGAGAGGCUGAGACACAGGCAGAGGGGGAAGCAGGCUCCCUGCUGGAUCUCAGGACCCCCGGAUCACACCCUGAGCCAAAGGCGGAUGCUCAACCACUGAGCCACCCAGGUGCCCCAUGCUAGAGGAUUUUAAGUUGUGUUUUAUCAGUGGAAUGUGAGCAUCGGUUCUCUUAAUUGCAAAAUGUGUCUCUUAAUGUCAACGUGAGUGUUGUUUGUGGGCUCAGUAACGUUCUAUGAGUGUGUAUGCAUGUGUGUAUGUGUGUGAGAUGUGUGUCUAUAUGUGUCUGCACGUCUAUCACGUGUGUAUAUGUGCAUGUGUGUGGUUAUGUGUGCAUGUGUGUAACAUGUGUGUGUCUGUGGGUGACGUGUGUAUGCCACUAAGGUACCUAGUAAGUGUUCAAUAAGAGAGAAUUUAUCCCCUGCCUUUUUUUUUUUUUUAGUUAUUAGAGCAUAUGAAGAAUAAGGCACCCACAUCUCCUUGUUGAGCGUAUUCAUUAUUAAAGAAGAGAGAUUGCUUUCUGGUGUUUCUGUAAGUGAACACUAAUGCAUUAAAAGUCGAAAAUAAAUAAAACAGGCAGACAAAAAGACAGGACAGAACUCAUAGUGGAAAUAUCUCUAUUAAACCUUGUAAAACUGGAGCAUGGCCAUGCAGAAGAAAGGGGGAUGGGGAGGCGUUUGAAGGGUCAGGAAGCAAUUACAUCAGGAGAUGCAAAAUGACUCAGGGUCCAGGAAGCCUCGCAGGACGGACGCAUGAGCGUGCCAGCACGGAGAAAAAUGUGUUUCUUUAUAUAUAUAUAUAUAUAUAUAUAUAUAUAUAUAAACAAUAAAGGUUUUCCGAAAAUCCACUCUAACUCUGUGCUACAAAACGCAUGUGAGCUAGGCACAGACACUGAAGAAGGUCCGGGUGGCACACGGCUUUCUGGAUUUAGUUCCUUCCAUCAGACUUCCUGCAGGCGUCCCAGCUGGUGACCCUGGAACUCCAUCCACUCUGAAUACUGCGGGACUUCCAUCCGGAGGCUUUCUUUCCUGGGUCUUAGUUUCUUCAUCUCUACUGUGUGGGUGCCGAUGUUUAAUGAUGCUGUGCACAUCCUACCCAGCGAUGCCUGCAGAUGCCCCCACUGAGUGUCUGGUGUCCACUGUGCCCUGUCGGUGGACACCUGCUCACGGGGCUCGGCGUGCUCAUCACCCGAUGACAACAAGGUUACACCCGUUAGAUGCCCUGACUGGACCACCUGUUUCACCCAACAACUAAGGGCCCCGUCCCUGAUCCACUUAGCCCUGUGUAUUCUGGCUGCAAUGCCUUGUGUAUUCCAUCAUCUUCUUCAAAAUAAUAAUAAAACUGUGAGGGAAAUAAAAGAAGAAAAGCUGUUUGCCAC
This 1590-nucleotide long non-coding RNA is filed under the name Canis lupus familiaris (dog). RNAcentral describes it as "lncRNA (ENSCAFG00030007853.1)". The record is from RNAcentral. Lineage: Eukaryota; Metazoa; Chordata; Mammalia; Carnivora; Canidae.